AAAGUUUUAGUAUAAGUUUAUUAUGGUGGGUUGUCUGCCUGAGGAUUGUGAACUUUU
Molecule: transfer RNA, 57 nt
Filed under: Physaloptera rara
Lineage: Eukaryota; Metazoa; Nematoda; Chromadorea; Rhabditida; Physalopteridae
Description: tRNA-Asp
Source: RNAcentral